RNAcentral lists this ribosomal RNA (479 nucleotides) under uncultured bacterium. RNAcentral describes it as "partial 16S ribosomal RNA". It matches the Rfam family "Bacterial small subunit ribosomal RNA", at positions 28 to 523 of the family's 1533-position model. The record is from RNAcentral.
GACGAACGCUGGCGGCAUGCCUAACACAUGCAAGUCGAGCGAGCAGAUCCCUUCGGGGUGUAGCUAGCGGCGGACGGGUGAGUAACACGUGGGCAACCUGCCUCAUAGAGGGGAAUAACCUUCCGAAAGGAAGAUUAAUACCGCAUAAGAUUGUAGCUUCGCAUGAAGCAGCAAUUAAAGGAGCAAUCCGCUAUGAGAUGGGCCCGCGGCGCAUUAGCUAGUUGGUGAGGUAACGGCUCACCAAGGCGACGAUGCGUAGCCGACCUGCAGAGGGUGAUCGGCCACAUUGGGACUGAGACACGGCCCAGACUCCUACGGGAGGCAGCAGUGGGGAAUAUUGCACAAUGGGGGAAACCCUGAUGCAGCAAUGCCGCGUGAGUGAUGACGGCCUUCGGGUUGUAAAGCUCUGUCUUCGGGGACGAUAAUGACGGUACCCGAGGAGGAAGCCACGGCUAACUACGUGCCAGCAGCCGCUGUAA